ACAAGGCCACAGAGGAACAACAAGAAAGGAAUAACAUGAAUAGAAGACUUGGCGAACCGGGCCCGGGACUUAUGCCUCAUAGCCAGAAAAGAACUCGGAUGCAAAGACGGCAAUUCAUUAUCCAACAACAAAUCAGACUCUGAUGAAGAUGGUGAAGGUGACAUAGAGGAUUGUCUCAUCACCAAGGAAGGCAAGGAUGGUGAAGCUGACAAUGUCGAAUUUCGUUUCGUGUCGGAGAAUGUGUUUGAGCUGGAAGAUCUGUUCAUGUUAAUGACAAUGUAAUGAUCUUGUGUUGUUGUUUGAGAUUGGAGUUGAAUCAGAUCACAGAGG
RNAcentral lists this long non-coding RNA (330 nucleotides) under Daucus carota (carrot). Its description in RNAcentral is "long non-coding RNA (DCAR_LNC000851)". Lineage: Eukaryota; Viridiplantae; Streptophyta; Magnoliopsida; Apiales; Apiaceae. The record is from RNAcentral.